UACGGAGGGUGCAAGCGUUAUCCGGAUUUACUGGGUUUAAAGGGUGCGUAGGUGGGUCUGUAGGUCAGUGGUGAAAUCUCCGAGCUUAACUCGGAAACUGCCAUUGAUACUAUAGGUCUUGAAUUAUCUGGAGGUAAGCGGAAUAUGUCAUGUAGCGGUGAAAUGCUUAGAUAUGACAUAGAACACCCAUUGCGAAGGCAGCUAACUACGCGAUAAUUGACGCUGAUGCACGAAAGCGUGGGGAUCAAACAGG
Molecule: ribosomal RNA, 253 nt
Filed under: uncultured bacterium
Lineage: Bacteria
Description: partial 16S ribosomal RNA
Rfam family: Bacterial small subunit ribosomal RNA
Source: RNAcentral